AGCGAACGCUGGCGGCAGGCCUAACACAUGCAAGUCGAACGGAUCCUUCGGGAUUAGUGGCGGACGCGUGAGUAACACGUGGGAACGUUCCCUUUGGUUCGGAACAACUCAUGGAAACUUGAGCUAAUACCGGAUAUGCCCUUCGGGUGAAAGAUUUAUCGCCAUUGGAGCGGCCCGCGUCUUAUUAGCUAGUUGGUGAGGUAACGGCCCACCAAGGCGACGAUCAGUAGCUGGUCUGAGAGGAUGAUCAGCCACACUGGGACUGAGACACGGCACAGAAUCCUACGGGAGGCAGCAGUGGGGAAUCUUGCGCAAUGGGCGAAAGCCUGACGCAGCCAUGCCGCGUGAAUGAUGAAGGUCUUAGGAUUGUACAAUUCUUUCAGCGGGGACGAUAAUGACGGUACCCGAAGAAGAAGCUCCGGCUAACUUCGUG
Molecule: ribosomal RNA, 433 nt
Filed under: uncultured bacterium
Lineage: Bacteria
Description: partial 16S ribosomal RNA
Rfam family: Bacterial small subunit ribosomal RNA
Source: RNAcentral